CCUACGGGAGGCAGCAGUGAGGAAUAUUGGUCAAUGGGCGUAAGCCUGAACCAGCCAAGUAGCGUGAGGGAUGACUGCCCUCUGGGUUUUAAACUUCUUUUAUACGGGGAUAAAGUGCCCCACGUGUGGAUGUUUGUAUGUACCGUAUGAAUAAGCAUCGGCUAAUUCCGUGCCAGCAGCCGCGGUAAUACGGAAGGUCCGGGCGUUAUCCGGAUUUAUUGGGUUUAACGGGAGCGUAGGCCGGUCGUUAAGUCUGCGGUGAAAUUUUGGGGCUCAACCAGGAGAGUGCGGAGGGAACUGGAGAACUUGAGUGUGCGGAAGGCAGGUGGAAUUCGUGGUGUAGCGGUGAAAUGCUUAGAUAUCACGAAGAACACCGAUUGCGAAGGC
Molecule: ribosomal RNA, 387 nt
Filed under: uncultured bacterium
Lineage: Bacteria
Description: partial 16S ribosomal RNA
Rfam family: Bacterial small subunit ribosomal RNA
Source: RNAcentral